GUCUACCAACAUCUUGAUUUGGCGAUUUUAUUCCACUCUUCCUUUGCAAAAAUGCUCCAGAUUUGUUACAUUUCAAGGGGGUCUCCUGUGCAUAGCCCUCUUCAAGCCAUUCCACAGGUCUUUGAUAGAAUUUAAAUCUGAGGUCUGACUGGGCCAUUCCAAAACCUUGAUCUUCUUCUUCUGAAGACAUUCCUUUGCUGACUUGGAUUUGUGUUUUGGGUUGUUAUUGUACUGGAAGGGGUGGACUGCAUUCAAAACACCUUGGUUGUGUAAUCCAGUGCUACCUCUGAUGCCACUCCCAGCAUAUUCCUGACGUUAUGAGUGUGCUACUGCUACUGACAGCAUGAUAAAUACUGACAGUGGAAGAGAAUUGGAGGAAGUCAUUCCUUUCUAAGAAAGACGAAAGAAAGGAGAUAAACUCACCAGUGUAGCAGAUGAAAGGGAAACUGGCGAAACAGUUUUCAUCUGUCCAUUGGCCGGAACGAUCCACAGCG
Ictalurus punctatus (channel catfish) is the source of this 494-nucleotide long non-coding RNA. RefSeq lists it as uncharacterized. The record is from RefSeq and is a predicted model, not a curated record. NCBI's taxonomy places the organism in Eukaryota, Metazoa, Chordata, Actinopteri, Siluriformes, Ictaluridae. The transcript is spliced from 3 exons.